AUUGAACGCUGGCGGCAUGCCUUACACAUGCAAGUCGAACGGUAACAGGUCUUAGGAUGCUGACGAGUGGCGAACGGGUGAGUAAUACAUCGGAACGUGCCCAGACGUGGGGGAUAACGAGGCGAAAGCUUUGCUAAUACCGCAUACGAUCUAAGGAUGAAAGCAGGGGACCGCAAGGCCUUGCGCGUUUGGAGCGGCCGAUGGCAGAUUAGGUAGUUGGUGGGAUAAAAGCUUACCAAGCCGACGAUCUGUAGCUGGUCUGAGAGGACGACCAGCCACACUGGGACUGAGACACGGCCCAGACUCCUACGGGAGGCAGCAGUGGGGAAUUUUGGACAAUGGGCGAAAGCCUGAUCCAGCAAUGCCGCGUGCAGGAUGAAGGCCUUCGGGUUGUAAACUGCUUUUGUACGGAACGAAAAGGCUCUGGCUAAUACCUGGGGCACAUGACGGUACCGGAAGAAUAAGCACCGGCUAACUACGUG
Molecule: ribosomal RNA, 482 nt
Filed under: uncultured bacterium
Lineage: Bacteria
Description: partial 16S ribosomal RNA
Rfam family: Bacterial small subunit ribosomal RNA
Source: RNAcentral